UACGUAGGGUGCGAGCGUUGUCCGGAAUUACUGGGCGUAAAGAGCUCGUAGGUGGUUUGUCGCGUUGUCCGUGAAAACUCACAACUCAAUUGUGGGCGUGCGGGCGAUACGGGCAGACUGGAGUACUGCAGGGGAGACUGGAAUUCCUGGUGUAGCGGUGGAAUGCGCAGAGUAUCAAGAGGAACACCGGUGGCGAAGGCGGGUCUCUGGGCAGUAACUGACGCUGAGGAGCGAAAGCGUGGGGAGCGAACAGG
RNAcentral lists this ribosomal RNA (254 nucleotides) under uncultured bacterium. RNAcentral's name for it is "partial 16S ribosomal RNA". It matches the Rfam family "Bacterial small subunit ribosomal RNA", at positions 524 to 776 of the family's 1533-position model. The record is from RNAcentral.